UCGUAACAAGGUCUCCGUUGGUGAACCAGCGGAGGGAUCAUUACCGAGUUUACAACUCCCAAACCCAAUGUGAACGUUACCAAACUGUUGCCUCGGCGGGAUCUCUGCCCCGGGUGCGUCGCAGCCCCGGACCAAGGCGCCCGCCGGAGGACCAACCAAAACUCUUAUUGUAUACCCCCUCGCGGGUUUUUUACUAUCUGAGCCAUCUCGGCGCCCCUCGUGGGCGUUUCGAAAAUGAAUCAAAACUUUCAACAACGGAUCUCUUGGUUCUGGCAUCGAUGAAGAACGCAGCGAAAUGCGAUAAGUAAUGUGAAUUGCAGAAUUCAGUGAAUCAUCGAAUCUUUGAACGCACAUUGCGCCCGCCAGUAUUCUGGCGGGCAUGCCUGUCCGAGCGUCAUUUCAACCCUCGAACCCCUCCGGGGGGUCGGCGUUGGGGAUCGGCCCUUUACGGGGCCGGCCCCGAAAUACAGUGGCGGUCUCGCCGCAGCCUCUCCUGCGCAGUAGUUUGCACACUCGCAUCGGGAGCGCGGCGCGUCCACAGCCGUUAAACACCCCAAACUUCUGAAAUGUUGACCUCGGAUCAGGUAGGAAUACCCGCUGAACUUAAGCAUAUCAAUAA
RNAcentral lists this unclassified non-coding RNA (619 nucleotides) under Trichoderma virens. Its description in RNAcentral is "sequence contains 18S rRNA gene, ITS1, 5.8S rRNA gene, ITS2, 28S rRNA gene". The stretch from base 244 to 397 matches the Rfam family "5.8S ribosomal RNA". Lineage: Eukaryota; Fungi; Ascomycota; Sordariomycetes; Hypocreales; Hypocreaceae. The record is from RNAcentral.